CGCGGGAUAGAGCAGUUUGGUAGCUCGUCGGGCUCAUAACCCGAAGGUCGGAGGUUCAAAUCCUCCUCCCGCAACCA
RNAcentral lists this transfer RNA (77 nucleotides) under Thiofractor thiocamini. Its description in RNAcentral is "tRNA-Met". It matches the Rfam family "tRNA". From Rfam's summary of the family: Transfer RNA (tRNA) molecules are approximately 80 nucleotides in length. Their secondary structure includes four short double-helical elements and three loops (D, anti-codon, and T loops). Lineage: Bacteria; Pseudomonadati; Campylobacterota; Epsilonproteobacteria; Campylobacterales. RNAcentral also lists the same sequence under 3 other names. The record is from RNAcentral.